RNAcentral lists this ribosomal RNA (510 nucleotides) under uncultured bacterium. RNAcentral's name for it is "bacterial SSU rRNA". It matches the Rfam family "Bacterial small subunit ribosomal RNA", at positions 395 to 916 of the family's 1533-position model. The record is from RNAcentral.
CGCCGCGUGAGGGAUGACGGCCUUCGGGUUGUAAACCUCUUUCGUACCGACGAAGCGCGAGUGACGGUAGGUACAGAAGAAGCACCGGCCAACUACGUGCCAGCAGCCGCGGUAAUACGUAGGGUGCGAGCGUUGUCCGGAAUUAUUGGGCGUAAAGGGCUCGUAGGCGGUUUGUCGCGUCGGGAGUGAAAACUCGGGGCUUAACUCCGAGCCCGCUUUCGAUACGGGCAGACUAGAGGUAUGCAGGGGAGAACGGAAUUCCUGGUGUAGCGGUGAAAUGCGCAGAUAUCAGGAGGAACACCGGUGGCGAAGGCGGUUCUCUGGGCAUGACCUGACGCUGAGGAGCGAAAGUGUGGGGAGCGAACAGGAUUAGAUACCCUGGUAGUCCACACCGUAAACGUUGGGCGCUAGGUGUGGGACUCAUUCCACGAGUUCCGUGCCGCAGCUAACGCAUUAAGCGCCCCGCCUGGGGAGUACGGCCGCAAGGCUAAAACUCAAAGGAAUUGACGG